This 497-nucleotide ribosomal RNA is filed under the name uncultured bacterium. RNAcentral describes it as "partial 16S ribosomal RNA". It matches the Rfam family "Bacterial small subunit ribosomal RNA", at positions 28 to 507 of the family's 1533-position model. The record is from RNAcentral.
GAUGAACGCUGGCGGCGUGCCUAAUACAUGCAAGUCGAGCGAACAGGCGAGGAGCUUGCUCCUUCGACGUUAGCGGCGGACGGGUGAGUAACACGUAGGUAACCUACCUAUGAGACUGGGAUAACUUCGGGAAACCGGAGCUAAUACCGGAUAAUAUUUCGAACCGCAUGGUUCGAUAGUGAAAGAUGGCUUUGCUAUCACUUAUAGAUGGACCUGCGCCGUAUUAGCUAGUUGGUAAGGUAACGGCUUACCAAGGCAACGAUACGUAGCCGACCUGAGAGGGUGAUCGGCCACACUGGAACUGAGACACGGUCCAGACUCCUACGGGAGGCAGCAGUAGGGAAUCUUCCGCAAUGGGCGAAAGCCUGACGGAGCAACGCCGCGUGAGUGAUGAAGGUCUUCGGAUCGUAAAACUCUGUUAUUAGGGAAGAACAAACGUGUAAGUAACUGUGCACGUCUUGACGGUACCUAAUCAGAAAGCCACGGCUAACUACGUG